CCGCAGCCCGCGGGAAGCGCCAGGCCGGGCAGCGGCGGCCGAAGCGGAGCCGCCCGGCCGGGGCCGAGCAGCCAGGAGGGAGGGAAAGGAACUUCUGGGAUUUUUUCUCAGAAUUUUGAACUGACGGGAUACAUUCUUCCCACCGUGAAAAGAGAGGCUGGGGUGGAAUUCCAGGGAUAUCUGUGGAUCCUGGAAUGUCCAAGGUCAGCUUGGAGCAGCCUGGGAGAGCGGGAAUGAUCCCAGGCCACGGAAUAACGGGAUGAGCUUCACGCUCCUUCCCAUCCCAGAGCGUUCCCCGCUCCCGGCUCCUUUUCCGGGAUGAGGAUCCAAUCCCAGAGCUGCUCUUUUCCAAGGAUUUGAGGAUUCCCAGAGUUGCCAUCAGGGCGGGAUGGAGUUGGAGGCUGAGCCAUAAGCAUGGAAAAAUUCCGGGAAUGCGGCCGCAAACAGCGGGAAUCACCUUGGGAAUGAGAUGGGAAAAGCUGGAUCCAACUCCAGGCGUGUCCAGAGGCUCCUGCGCCGAAUCUUUGGGAAUUUUUCAUGGAAUUUCUGCUCCCGGAGCUGCCGAAAACCUUUGGAAAAAGACUUUUCUCCUGGG
Non-coding RNA from Pseudopodoces humilis (Tibetan ground-tit), 595 nucleotides. The record is from RefSeq and is a predicted model, not a curated record. NCBI's taxonomy places the organism in Eukaryota, Metazoa, Chordata, Aves, Passeriformes, Paridae.